AGCUCCAUUAGCGUAUAUUAAAGUUGUUGCAGUUAAAAAGCUCGUAGUUGGAUUUCGGUGCGGGUCGCGUCGGUCGGUCGCAAGACUUGUUUACUGGCCGGCCUGUUCUUUCUCUCCGAGACCUCGCGUUUCCUUUACUGGAUGCGCGUGCGAAUCGGAGGCGUUUACUUUGAAAAAAUUAGAGUGUUCAAGGCAGGCUCGUUUAGGCUUGAAUACAUGAGCAUGGAAUAAUGGAAUAUGACUUGGGUCACUAUUUCGUUGGUUCUAUUGACCGAAGUAAUGAUUAAGAGGGACAGUUGGGGGCAUCCGUAUUUCGUAGUCAGAGGUGAAAUUCUUGGAUCUGCGAAAGACGAACUAAUACAAAAACAUUUACCAAAAAUGUUUUCAUUAAUCAAGAACG
This 400-nucleotide ribosomal RNA is filed under the name phytoplankton environmental sample. Its description in RNAcentral is "partial small subunit ribosomal RNA". It matches the Rfam family "Eukaryotic small subunit ribosomal RNA", at positions 587 to 985 of the family's 1831-position model. The record is from RNAcentral.